Molecule: ribosomal RNA, 904 nt
Filed under: Bolbitius titubans
Lineage: Eukaryota; Fungi; Basidiomycota; Agaricomycetes; Agaricales; Bolbitiaceae
Description: eukaryotic LSU rRNA
Rfam family: Eukaryotic large subunit ribosomal RNA
Source: RNAcentral
AAAGAAACUAACAAGGAUUCCCCUAGUAACUGCGAGUGAAGCGGGAAAAGCUCAAAUUUAAAAUCUGGCAGUCUUUGAUUGUCCGAGUUGUAAACUAGAGAAGUGUUAUCCGNGCUGGACCGUGUAAAAGUCUCCUGGAAUGGAGCAUCAUAGAGGGUGAGAAUCCCGUCUUUGACAUGGACUACCAGUGCUUUGUGAUGCGCUCUCAAAGAGUCGAGUUGUUUGGGAAUGCAGCUCAAAAUGGGUGGUAAAUUCCAUCUAAAGCUAAAUAUUGGCGAGAGACCGAUAGCGAACAAGUACCGUGAGGGAAAGAUGAAAAGAACUUUGGAAAGAGAGUUAAACAGUACGUGAAAUUGCUGAAAGGGAAACGCUUGAAGUCAGUCGCGUCGGCCAGGAAUCAACCUUGCUUUUGCUGGGCGUACUUUCUGGUUGACGGGUCAGCAUCAAUUUUGACUGCUGGAAAAAGUUCAAGGGAAUGUGGCAUCUUCGGAUGUGUUAUAGCCCUUGUUCGCAUACAGCAGUUGGGAUUGAGGUACUCAGCACGCCGCAAGGCCGGGUUUCGACCACGUUCGUGCUUAGGAUGCUGGCAUAAUGGCUUUAAUCGACCCGUCUUGAAACACGGACCAAGGAGUCUAACAUGCCUGCGAGUGUUUGGGUGGAAAACCCAAGCGCGCAAUGAAAGUAAAAGUUGAGAUCCCUGUCAUGGGGAGCAUCGACGCCCGGACCAGAGCUUUUGUGACGGAUCUGCGGUAGAGCAUGUAUGUUGGGACCCGAAAGAUGGUGAACUAUGCCUGAAUAGGGUGAAGCCAGAGGAAACUCUGGUGGAGGCUCGUAGCGAUUCUGACGUGCAAAUCGAUCGUCAAAUUUGGGUAUAGGGGCGAAAGACUAAUCGAACCAUCUAGUA